This 31-nucleotide non-coding RNA is filed under the name Mus musculus (house mouse). The record is from RNAcentral. Lineage: Eukaryota; Metazoa; Chordata; Mammalia; Rodentia; Muridae.
UGUGAUUGUACAAAUUCAGUAUGGGCAUCGC